This 497-nucleotide ribosomal RNA is filed under the name uncultured bacterium. Its description in RNAcentral is "partial 16S ribosomal RNA". It matches the Rfam family "Bacterial small subunit ribosomal RNA", at positions 28 to 507 of the family's 1533-position model. The record is from RNAcentral.
GACGAACGCUGGCGGCGUGCCUAAUACAUGCAAGUUGAGCGAUGAAGAUUGGUGCUUGCACCAAUUUGAAGAGCAGCGAACGGGUGAGUAACGCGUGGGGAAUCUGCCUUUGAGCGGGGGACAACAUUUGGAAACGAAUGCUAAUACCGCAUAACAACUUUAAACAUAAGUUUUAAGUUUGAAAGAUGCAAUUGCAUCACUCAAAGAUGAUCCCGCGUUGUAUUAGCUAGUUGGUGAGGUAAAGGCUCACCAAGGCGAUGAUACAUAGCCGACCUGAGAGGGGGAUCGGCCACAUUGGGACUGAGACACGGCCCAAACUCCUACGGGAGGCAGCAGUAGGGAAUCUUCGGCAAUGGACGAAAGUCUGACCGAGCAACGCCGCGUGAGUGAAGAAGGUUUUCGGAUCGUAAAACUCUGUUGGUAGAGAAGAACGUUGGUGAGAGUGGAAAGCUCAUCCAGUGACGGUAACUACCCAGAAAGGGACGGCUAACUACGUG